CUUCCUUCCGAUCCUUCACUCUUUCACGUCUCCUACAAUCUCUCUCUCUCUCUCUCUCUCAUUUUCAUUUCCUCCCUCAUUUGAUUCUUUCUCCAUUUCCCUUCCCCACUGUCUGUUUCUCUCCUUUCUCUUUCCUGCCUACCCCCUGCACAGUCACAGUUGUCAGUGGCACACACACAUUCGACCCCUUUUCAGGCUGCGCUGCUAGAAUGGAGUGAAUCUGAGACCUCACAGGAGUUGCUAUGUCUCACAGGAUGACUUCUGUAGGUACAGCUUCAAAGAUGCUAUUUUCUUUUAAUCAAAGUCAAUUAAUAAGGAUUUCUUCUGCUUAUAGUCUUGCAUUUUAUCACUCUUCUAUUGCAGUUUUCAUUCCGGGAAAAUGGAAAAGCAAAACAAAAACAAAACAGAACAGUAACUCAGGGCUCAUAAGGAUGGAUCUUCAGUGUUAUUGAAAUAACAGCCGGCUAACAGGAAUUGUUCAGCUCACUAGACAGUUGCAGGUUUAACAUAGGGGGGUAAUUGAAUUAGAUCAUUGUCAUAUUUGGACAAGGCUCAUGCUUGUUUACGUUAAGUUAUUAGAAACAACUUAAAUCACAAGGACUAUCAAGCAUGAAAGAGAUAAUUGAUAAAUAUUUUUACUGACAAUUAUACUAGCAUAAAAGAUUGUAGAAGAAUAUUUUUAAAUGUCCAAACUAUUAUUACCUGUUUGAAUUCUUAUAAAGCUUUGCGGUCUUUGUUUUUCUCUAAAGAACUUCUAAACUACAGAGGGUCAAGAAUGUUUUCAAUAAUUCCUAAUUGUCAUAAUAAGAUCCUGUCUUUUAAUCAACAUGAUGAUGUUUAACAUGUUUAUUGUCUAUUUUCUAAAGCUUGAAUCAUUAUCAGAUGCAGACAAGUGUUUGGUGUGCAUAGACUAGACUUGUCUUUCUAUCUAGAUUUUAAGCUCCACUAGGAAAAGAACUAUAUUUAGUCCAUUUCUUGUGAUUCUAUAAUAUGUGCACUGAGUAGGCACUCAAUAUAUACUUGCUGGUUUCUGUAGAGGCUUCAAAUUGUUAUAGCCAAGAGCACAGUCUCUGAAGCCAGAAUGCCUGUGUUCAAAUCUGGGCUUAGCCACUUACCAGCUAUAUGACCUUAGGCAAAUUCCUUCACCUCUCUGUGCCUCAAUUUCUUUAUCACUGAAUAGUUAAUUAAAACCCUACUUUGUUAACUCAUUAAGUGAGCUAAUAUUUAUAUAGUGCUUAAAACUGUGUCUGACAAGUGAUAAGUACCACACAGGUAUAUGAUAUGAAGAGUAUGUUAUUAUUUUGAAUCUGUGCUGCUGUCAGUCUACUGUUUACAAACACUCGCCCAAGAAGAGAAGAUUAUCUUUUCAUGUGUUUAUUGGCCAUCUGUAUAUCUUCUUUGCCAAAGUAUCUGUUCAAGUCUUUUGCUUAUUUUUAUACCAAGGUGUUUAUUUCCUUAUUGCACUUUGAGAAUUCUUUAUAUAUUUCGGAUGUAAGUCUUUUAUCAUAUAAAUAUUCUGCAAAUAUUUUCCUCUAGUGUGUGGUUUUUCUUAACAGUAGCUUUCAAAGAUCAGCAGUUUUAAAUUUUGAUGGGGUCCAAUUUGUAAUCUCUUUCUUUUACAGAUCAUCCAUCAGGUUGUAAAUGAAACUUUGCCCAAUUAUUCCAUUCCCACUUUUCUAUCUUUUUUACUCUUUGAUUGUGAAUUCAGUCAAUGUCAUAGGUCCACUUAUCAUCUUUCUAUAGGUAACUGCCAAGUUUGUAAUUCUGGACCCAGUUUUUUCUUUGAGCUGCAGAAAUGAUUCUAACUGCUUCUGGGUUGUCUCCAUCCAAACCCUGAUUAUAUCUCAACCUCAGUAGGUCUAGAAGUAUAUCAUCCUCAUCCUCACAAAACAAAGUCAACAGUGUUCUCUACCUUUGCAGGGAGCAUUACCACCCUCCAGGUCCUACUUUUAGAUUUACCUCUUCCAGUAUUUGACCUCCAUAACUGAAGCAGCUCUUUAACUUUUUCUGCCUGAAUACAAGUUCUCUGCUCUUUGUUCCUUUUCACAGUGCUCAAUUCAUCCUAUACACUGACAUCAGAGAAAUCCACCUAAAGUGUCAACUUGACAAACCCUGUUGUAAACAUAUUCAUAUAUCAAAUGCCUAAAAAUGCAACCCAGUAACUCAAGAUGGCACAUAGAGACACAGCAUUUAUUCCAGUCUCCUGUUCCAAUGUAGCCCUCAACCUCCCUACAAUAGAGUCAGUCAGAAGCAGCUACCUGCCUUUCUUCCAACAAAACUAUCAUUUCCAUGAUUGGGUUUAAUAAAGAACUGAGACUAUAAUUAUCCUGUAAUUCUUUAAUUAAAACUUUAUUCCUCAUAUAUAAACAGUAGCACUUAGCUUCAAGGUCUGGGUUUUUUUGUUUGUUUGUUUCUAGUUGUGUUGCUGAAAUUCUUGUGACCUUGAGCAAAUCAUGUGCCUCUCUAGCUAUUCCACCAUCUGUUACUCUGUUUUCCAUGUCAGCCAUACUGAUUUGGUGAGAAAGCACAGAAAUUGUCAUGUCAGCUGUGUCCAUCAUUCUGUUCUUUAUUUACCAUAUUAUGUUAAUGUUGAUUAAGAGAAAAGAAUACAUGGAAAUGUCCCUUCAUGAUAAAUGAGUGCCUUUCCAAAUAUUAAUAGACACUGUGAGAUGCGAAAAGGACAUAUAGGUAGUGAAUUGGCUUUGUUAAUUUAUCUGUCCAUAUUUCUCCUAUAAAAAGUAGUAGGGUUUUUUUUUUUUUUCAUAUUUACAUGGAAAAAAAACCCCAUGAAGUGCAGGGAAACUUUCCUAGAUAUAAAGCCAUCUUUAUCUAUCUUUUCUUUGAAAUUCAAAGGUACUCCACCCUAGAUCCUUCUGCUGAAGUACUAAGGGUCAGAAAACCUUUUGAUUGAUAAUGGCAGAAUUUUGAAGCAUUCUGAUGCUACUGUUUUCAGUUUUAUUCAGUGACUUUUGUGAGUAUGCAUUUCUCCUCCCUUGCUUUGAUCAGUAUACCCAAAAGUGUGUGUUUUUGUGUGUUUGUGUGUGUCGGCCAGGGGGUCAUAUAUCUCCUAGUUGUAUAAAUGAUGAUUGAAUAGAGUCCUUAAGUAACCAAAAUCAUUUCCUAACAGAUAGCUUUGCAAUUGGAAAAAUUAUUAAAUGAUCAGAGUUUGCAUUCAGUUCCUCUACCCUUCCCUGGCAGUUGCCAUUCUUUUUGGAUGGCACAUCAUUUCCUUUGAGUGCUAGUCUCCAUUAAAUUAAGAUGCAGAUGUUCAGUGUUCUUUCAGAACCACUCAACUCCCUAAGCAGGCCCAAGUCAGCUCUACCUUGCCCCUGUGUGCUACUGCUGCUCACCAUUCCAGUCUUUCUCAGAGGACAAAAGGGGAAGCUAAUUUAACAAGCAAUUCCCUCAAGAGCAAUAUAUUUGCUUUAUUUAUAUUGAUACAGUUCUAAACUCCCUUAAAAACUGCUAAGGCAUCUAGUCACUCUGAUAGGAAUACAGGGGAGAAGUUUGGAGGUUUGAGAAUUCUUUUCUCACCUUUCUGGUUACUGGUAGGUAAUUUCUCAUGCCAUUCUCUGCAAAGCCACUUUUCCUUUCAUUCUAAUUUAUUGUAUUCUUUACAAUGACUUAUUUACAUUGUAGUCCACCUUAAUGUUAAGACCUCAUCUGUAUUCAACUUUGACUCUCUAGGAUGUUUCAGUGUCAACAAAAACAUUUUCAAUAAAAUGAGUUUUAAAGACCUAAUUAGCUUUUAUUUGUAAUUCAUGAACCAGGCAUCAUCCAGUCCACAAAAUAGACAAAAGCUCCAGUGGGCAUGGCAGGCUAGUCACUUUCUGUAAAGCAGGUUGACCAAAAACAAGAAAACAGAGUGGAGCAAAAGCAGAUUGAAUAAUAUCAAGUUCUUCAGGUUACUUUUACCAGAUAAAGCAGAGGGGAAUUUAUCAUGCUGGAUCAGGUUAAUUGAAACCCUUUUGAUUGGUUGAUGUGAAUCUCCUGCUUUUUGUUUGUUUGUUUGUUUGUUUUGUUUUUAAAUUGGCUUCUUGAAGAUUUGGCUAUCAACUCUCUCCUGGUUUCUUGGAAGGUCAGAUCUUACAAAGCUGUUUAGCUUAGGUUUUGGUAGGGUAACAUGAAAGUUUAGCAUGAGUGACUCCAUUUUGGGUUGGUCUGCUGGGGCCAAGUGUAAGGCCUCAGUCCAGAUCAGUGGGUUCUCAUAUAUUUUAUUUAAUAGCACAGUGCCUGGCAUAUGCUAGAUGACUAACACAUAUUUGUUAAAUGAAGGAAUUUAUUGUACCAACUGAGUGACCACAUAUUGCUGCUGUUAAUUAAAUUAACCUCUCAAAGUAUAUAAUUUACUAUUAACACCCUAAUAAAAAGACAACUCAACUUAGUUGAUAAUCUCUGAAUAAAUGAAUGUUUUGCAUGCACGUUCUCACCAUAAAGUAUAAGACUAUUGUACAAACUGGAAAUAUCAAAGCCAAAGCAUGAAGAAGAAAGAGCUAAUUUUGUAAAUAAAGAGCAGAGCACAGACUUUUUUGCCACACACUGACCUACUCACAUUCAGUGAAACUCAAAGUCAGUGUGAAUAUUUCUUUUUGUGAUACUUUCAUCCUGAAGGCUUACCUCAGAAAAAAUGAUCUUACAUGUAAUCUAAGUGACUUGCACGUUAUUUAUUCAACAUGUAUUCAUUUAUUAAACAUAGAUUAAUUUGCUCACUGUCAAAUUCAUUCAUUUCACAACUGUGUACAGCCUUUCAGAAAAACAAAGGAAAACACAAUAUAGUUCAUGGGUUCAAAAUUAUUAUAGCCUAGUGUGGAAAAAAGGCAGCUGUCCACUAGGCCUUGGAAUAAGCCAGCAUGUGGCAAGUCAUUGAACAGAUAAAUGGGCAGAGUAUGGCAGGUUUGUGGGAGAAGGGGAGACUGACUCCAAGUAGGAAGACAAAGUGAGGUGUCAAUAAAGAGGACUGACUCGGGCUAGGACUUAAAGUAAAUCUCCAAAGAAGGAGAUUUCAAAAGCAAGGGUGUUCAAAGUUUAGAAAAUAAAACGUAUUUGGUAAAUUAUAAGUUGAAAACAUAACUGAUGCGAAAGAACAUAGGAACAUAUUCCAAAGCUGGAUUAUAGAUGAAUCACAGAGUUAAAUUAUAGCAUAUAGAGCUUGCAUUUUGUUGUUUGUUUGUUUGUGUUUACCUUUUUCUUUAAGCAAAGCAAAAUACCAACUUUGAAGCAGAACAGCGAAUAACACAGGUUUCUGAUUAGAGAAAAAUGAAGGUCCGGCUUGAGUUUACUUUUUAUCCAUUAAGCCUUUUUGACUUUCUCAAAUAGCAGUGAGUUGGAACUCAGCUAAAUUUCUAUAAUAUUUAUUAUUGUUUAGUCAUUAGUUUGACACUUAGCAUUCUGUAAUUUACUAAAUUACAACCUAUUUGAGAGGAGCCCCUGUUCCAUUUUACUGUAUAUUUUUUACAGUCUUGGGCCCA
Molecule: long non-coding RNA, 5468 nt
Filed under: Homo sapiens (human)
Lineage: Eukaryota; Metazoa; Chordata; Mammalia; Primates; Hominidae
Description: non-protein coding lnc-PIK3C3-17:1
Source: RNAcentral